RNAcentral lists this ribosomal RNA (2905 nucleotides) under Yersinia pseudotuberculosis. RNAcentral's name for it is "bacterial LSU rRNA". It matches the Rfam family "Bacterial large subunit ribosomal RNA". Lineage: Bacteria; Pseudomonadati; Pseudomonadota; Gammaproteobacteria; Enterobacterales; Yersiniaceae. The record is from RNAcentral.
UUAAGCGACUAAGCGUACACGGUGGAUGCCUAGGCAGUCAGAGGCGAUGAAGGGCGUGCUAAUCUGCGAAAAGCGUCGGUAAGCUGAUAUGAAGCGUUAUAACCGACGAUACCCGAAUGGGGAAACCCAGUGCAAUACGUUGCACUAUCGUUAGAUGAAUACAUAGUCUAACGAGGCGAACCGGGGGAACUGAAACAUCUAAGUACCCCGAGGAAAAGAAAUCAACCGAGAUUCCCCCAGUAGCGGCGAGCGAACGGGGAGGAGCCCAGAGUCUGAAUCAGUUUGUGUGUUAGUGGAAGCGUCUGGAAAGUCGCACGGUACAGGGUGAUAGUCCCGUACACCAAAAUGCACAGGCUGUGAACUCGAUGAGUAGGGCGGGACACGUGACAUCCUGUCUGAAUAUGGGGGGACCAUCCUCCAAGGCUAAAUACUCCUGACUGACCGAUAGUGAACCAGUACCGUGAGGGAAAGGCGAAAAGAACCCCGGCGAGGGGAGUGAAAUAGAACCUGAAACCGUGUACGUACAAGCAGUGGGAGCACCUUCGUGGUGUGACUGCGUACCUUUUGUAUAAUGGGUCAGCGACUUAUAUUUUGUAGCAAGGUUAACCGAAUAGGGGAGCCGUAGGGAAACCGAGUCUUAACUGGGCGUCUAGUUGCAAGGUAUAGACCCGAAACCCGGUGAUCUAGCCAUGGGCAGGUUGAAGGUUGGGUAACACUAACUGGAGGACCGAACCGACUAAUGUUGAAAAAUUAGCGGAUGACUUGUGGCUGGGGGUGAAAGGCCAAUCAAACCGGGAGAUAGCUGGUUCUCCCCGAAAGCUAUUUAGGUAGCGCCUCGUGAACUCAUCUUCGGGGGUAGAGCACUGUUUCGGCUAGGGGGCCAUCCCGGCUUACCAAACCGAUGCAAACUCCGAAUACCGAAGAAUGUUAUCACGGGAGACACACGGCGGGUGCUAACGUCCGUCGUGAAGAGGGAAACAACCCAGACCGCCAGCUAAGGUCCCAAAGUCAUGGUUAAGUGGGAAACGAUGUGGGAAGGCACAGACAGCCAGGAUGUUGGCUUAGAAGCAGCCAUCAUUUAAAGAAAGCGUAAUAGCUCACUGGUCGAGUCGGCCUGCGCGGAAGAUGUAACGGGGCUAAACCAUGCACCGAAGCUGCGGCAGCGACGUUUAGGCGUUGUUGGGUAGGGGAGCGUUCUGUAAGCCGUUGAAGGUGACCUGUGAGGGUUGCUGGAGGUAUCAGAAGUGCGAAUGCUGACAUAAGUAACGAUAAUGCGGGUGAAAAACCCGCACGCCGGAAGACCAAGGGUUCCUGUCCAACGUUAAUCGGGGCAGGGUGAGUCGACCCCUAAGGCGAGGCUGAAAAGCGUAGUCGAUGGGAAACAGGUUAAUAUUCCUGUACUUGGUGUUACUGCGAAGGGGGGACGGAGAAGGCUAGGCUGGCCGGGCGACGGUUGUCCCGGUUUAAGCGUGUAGGGGGAGUGACCAGGUAAAUCCGGUUGCUUAUCAACCCUGAGGCGUGAUGACGAUGCACUACGGUGCAGAAGCAGUUGAUGCCAUGCUUCCAGGAAAAGCCUCUAAGCAUCAGGUAACAUUAAAUCGUACCCCAAACCGACACAGGUGGUCAGGUAGAGAAUACUCAGGCGCUUGAGAGAACUCGGGUGAAGGAACUAGGCAAAAUGGUGCCGUAACUUCGGGAGAAGGCACGCUGGCGUUAGGUGAAAGGACUAGCUCCUGGAGCUGAAGCCAGUCGCAGAUACCAGCUGGCUGCAACUGUUUAAUAAAAACACAGCACUGUGCAAACACGAAAGUGGACGUAUACGGUGUGACGCCUGCCCGGUGCUGGAAGGUUAAUUGAUGGGGUCAGCCGCAAGGCGAAGCUCUUGAUCGAAGCCCCAGUAAACGGCGGCCGUAACUAUAACGGUCCUAAGGUAGCGAAAUUCCUUGUCGGGUAAGUUCCGACCUGCACGAAUGGCGUAAUGAUGGCCAGGCUGUCUCCACCCGAGACUCAGUGAAAUUGAACUCGCUGUGAAGAUGCAGUGUACCCGCGGCAAGACGGAAAGACCCCGUGAACCUUUACUAUAGCUUGACACUGAACAUUGAGCCUUGAUGUGUAGGAUAGGUGGGAGGCCUUGAAGUGUGGACGCCAGUCUGCAUGGAGCCAACCUUGAAAUACCACCCUUUAAUGUUUGAUGUUCUAACUCGGCCCCAUAAUCUGGGGUGAGGACAGUGUCUGGUGGGUAGUUUGACUGGGGCGGUCUCCUCCCAAAGAGUAACGGAGGAGCACGAAGGUUAGCUAAUCACGGUCGGACAUCGUGAGGUUAGUGCAAAGGCAUAAGCUAGCUUGACUGCGAGAGUGACGGCUCGAGCAGGUACGAAAGUAGGUCUUAGUGAUCCGGUGGUUCUGAAUGGAAGGGCCAUCGCUCAACGGAUAAAAGGUACUCCGGGGAUAACAGGCUGAUACCGCCCAAGAGUUCAUAUCGACGGCGGUGUUUGGCACCUCGAUGUCGGCUCAUCACAUCCUGGGGCUGAAGUAGGUCCCAAGGGUAUGGCUGUUCGCCAUUUAAAGUGGUACGCGAGCUGGGUUUAGAACGUCGUGAGACAGUUCGGUCCCUAUCUGCCGUGGGCGUUGGAAGAUUGAGAGGGGCUGCUCCUAGUACGAGAGGACCGGAGUGGACGAAUCACUGGUGUUCGGGUUGUCAUGCCAAUGGCAUUGCCCGGUAGCUAAAUUCGGAAGAGAUAACCGCUGAAAGCAUCUAAGCGGGAAACUUGCCUCGAGAUGAGUCUUCCCUGGGGCUUAAAGCCCCCUGAAGGAACGUUAAAGACUAUGACGUUGAUAGGCUGGGUGUGUAAGUGCAGCGAUGUAUUGAGCUAACCAGUACUAAUGAUCCGUGAGGCUUAACCUU